RNAcentral lists this ribosomal RNA (465 nucleotides) under uncultured bacterium. RNAcentral's name for it is "partial 16S ribosomal RNA". It matches the Rfam family "Bacterial small subunit ribosomal RNA", at positions 338 to 795 of the family's 1533-position model. The record is from RNAcentral.
CCUACGGGAGGCUGCAGUAGGGAAUUUUCGUCAAUGGGCGCAAGCCUGAACGAGCGAUGCCGCGUGAGUGCAGAAGGCCUUCGGGUCGUAAAGCUCUGUUUCUGGGGAAAAAAGGCAGCAUCAGGAAAUGGGUGCUGACUGAUUGUGCCCCUCCAGAAAGUCACGGAUAACGACAUGCCAGCAGCCGCGGUAAUACGUAGGUGGCGAGCGUUGUCCGGAAUGAUUGGGCGUAAAGGGUGCGCAGGCGGUCCUGCAAGUCUGGAGUGAAACGCAUGAGCUCAACUCAUGCAUGGCUUUGGAAACUGGAGGACUGGAGAGCAGGAGAGGGAGGUGGAAUUCCAGGUGUAGCGGUAAAAUGCGUAGAUAUAUGGAAGAACACCAGGUGCGAAGGCGGCCGCCUGGCCUGUUGCUGACGCUGAGGCACGAAAGCGUGGGGAGCAAAUAGGAUUAGAUACCCUUGUAGUC